UACCCGCUGAACUUAAGCAUAUCAAUAAGCGGAGGAAAAGAAACCAACAGGGAUUGCCCUAGUAACGGCGAGUGAAGCGGCAACAGCUCAAAUUUGAAAUCUGGCCUCGGCCCGAGUUGUAAUUUGCAGAGGAUGUUUCUGGCGCGGUGCCUUCCGAGUUCCCUGGAACGGGACGCCACAGAGGGUGAGAGCCCCGUAUGGUUGGACACCAAGCCUGUGUGAAACUCCUUCGACGAGUCGAGUAGUUUGGGAAUGCUGCUCUAAAUGGGAGGUAAAUCUCUUCUAAAGCUAAAUACCGGCCAGAGACCGAUAGCGCACAAGUAGAGUGAUCGAAAGAUGAAAAGCACCUUGAAAAGGGGGUUAAACAGUACGUGAAAUUGUUGAAAGGGAAGCGCUCAUGACCAGACUUGUGCCGGGCGGUUCAUCCGGGGUUCUCCCCGGUGCACUCCGCCCGGCUCAGGCCAGCAUCGGUUCUCGUUGGGGGAUAAGAACGGUAGGAACGUGGCCCUCCCUCGGGAGGGUGUUAUAGCCUGCCGUACGAUACCCUGAUGGGGACCGAGGUUCGCGCUCCGCAAGGAUGCUGGCGUAAUGGUCAUCAGCGACCCGUCUUGAAACACGGACCAAGGAGUCGUCCAUUAGAGCGAGCGUUUGGGUGUAAAACCCGCACGCGUAAUGAAAGUGAAAUUAGGUGAGAGCUUCGGCGCAUCAUCGACCGAUCCUGAUGUUCUCGGAUGGAUUUGAGUAAGAGUUUUAACGGACGGACCCGAAAGACAGUGAACUAUGCUUGUAUAGGGUGAAGCCAGAGGAAACUCUGGUGGAGGCUCGCAGCGGUUCUGACGUGCAAAUCGAUCGUCAAAUAUGAGCAUGGGGGCGAAAGACUAAUCGAACUGUCUAGUAGCUGGUUACCGCC
This 910-nucleotide ribosomal RNA is filed under the name Wuestneia molokaiensis. RNAcentral's name for it is "eukaryotic LSU rRNA". It matches the Rfam family "Eukaryotic large subunit ribosomal RNA", at positions 22 to 962 of the family's 3401-position model. Lineage: Eukaryota; Fungi; Ascomycota; Sordariomycetes; Diaporthales; Melanconidaceae. The record is from RNAcentral.